GGCGGAACGGGUGAGUAACGCGUGGGAAUCUACCCAGUAGUGGGGGACAACUACCGGAAACGGUAGCUAAUACCGCAUACGCCCUAUGGGGGAAAGGCUUCGGCCGCUAUUGGAUGAGCCCGCGUCAGAUUAGCUAGUUGGUAGGGUAAAGGCCUACCAAGGCAACGAUCUGUAGCUGGUCUGAGAGGACGAACAGCCGCACUGGGACUGAGACACGGCCCAGACUCCUACGGGAGGCAGCAGUGGGGAAUAUUGGACAAUGGGCGAAAGCCUGAUCCAGCAAUGCCGCGUGUGUGAAGAAGGCCUGCGGGUUGUAAAGCACUUUCAGUUGGGAAGAUGAUGACGUUACCAACAGAAGAAGCACCGGCUAAAUCCGUGCCAGCAGCCGCGGUAAUACGGAUGGUGCGAGCGUUAAUCGGAAUUACUGGGCGUAAAGCGCGC
Molecule: ribosomal RNA, 441 nt
Filed under: uncultured Gammaproteobacteria bacterium
Lineage: Bacteria; Pseudomonadati; Pseudomonadota; Gammaproteobacteria
Description: bacterial SSU rRNA
Rfam family: Bacterial small subunit ribosomal RNA
Source: RNAcentral